This 253-nucleotide ribosomal RNA is filed under the name uncultured bacterium. RNAcentral describes it as "partial 16S ribosomal RNA". It matches the Rfam family "Bacterial small subunit ribosomal RNA", at positions 524 to 776 of the family's 1533-position model. The record is from RNAcentral.
GCCGUAGGGGGCCAGCGUUGUUCGGAAUUACUGGGUGUAAAGGGUUCGUAGGCGGUGUGGCAAGUCGGGAGUGAAAUCUCUGGGCUCAACCCAGAGUCUGCUUCCGAAACUGCUGUGCUUGAGUGUGGGAGAGGCGCGUGGAAUUGCAGGUGUAGCGGUGAAAUGCGUAGAUAUCUGCAGGAACACCCGUGGCGAAAGCGGCGCGCUGGACCACUACUGACGCUGAGGAACGAAAGCUAGGGGAGCAAACAGG